ACUCCUACGGGAGGCAGCAGUAGGGAAUCUUCCACAAUGGGCGCAAGCCUGAUGGAGCAACACCGCGUGAGUGAAGAAGGGUUUCGGCUCGUAAAGCUCUGUUGUUAAAGAAGAACACGUAUGAGAGUAACUGUUCAUACGUUGACGGUAUUUAACCAGAAAGUCACGGCUAACUACGUGCCAGCAGCCGCGGUAAUACGUAGGUGGCAAGCGUUAUCCGGAUUUAUUGGGCGUAAAGAGAGUGCAGGCGGUUUUCUAAGUCUGAUGUGAAAGCCUUCGGCUUAACCGGAGAAGUGCAUCGGAAACUGGAUAACUUGAGUGCAGAAGAGGGUAGUGGAACUCCAUGUGUAGCGGUGGAAUGCGUAGAUAUAUGGAAGAACACCAGUGGCGAAGGCGGCUACCUGGUCUGCAACUGACGCUGAGACUCGAAAGCAUGGGUAGCGAACAGGAUUAGAUACCCUGGUAGGC
Molecule: ribosomal RNA, 468 nt
Filed under: uncultured bacterium
Lineage: Bacteria
Description: bacterial SSU rRNA
Rfam family: Bacterial small subunit ribosomal RNA
Source: RNAcentral